UCUAAAAAUUUCCCAUUUUAAACCUAAGCCCGCCUUUAGUUCACAAUUCCCCCAAAUUCACUACUUUCACCCUUUGUUUCUAUCUCUAUUGUCUCUCAAUCUCUCCCUCUGAAUCAGUUAUGGAUAAUCUCACUCCUUUAUACCCUGUGUAACUAGCGACCAUCAAAACCACGGGUGACCUUCGUCCUUAAUAACCACCGGCAAAAUUGUAUCCUCCAUGUUCUCGACAACCAUGGAACGCCCUCGUUCCCGUGCUGCCGUGCAUCAUCUUUGAUUGUGAGUUACUAUUUCAAUUUUAUGUAUUUACAUUAUUACUACCCUUACUUAAAUUGCCCUAAUCUUGAGUUUAAGAAAAAAAACCUGGAAAAAAAACCUGAAGCAGUGGAGGUUUAGAUUGGGCGAGAUCUGGUGGUUUCCCUAUGGAGUCGUAUAGACAAACUAAUCUCUAGUCAGAUUCUAAUAAAAGAGAAUGCAAUAUGUAUUGUCUAUACUGUUGUGCGACGUUGGAUUUAUGCUAGGAACUUUGGGUCAAGCAGCCUUUGAGUUAUCUGUAGCUUUCUGGGUUUGUUGGUGUGUUUCUGGGAGGAUGAGUGCAGCUUGUAGUGAGCGCGUGAGCGCAGCCGCAGCGGCGUGACGAGCACAGGUUUGACUUUGAAUUUUGAAGGAAGCUCGCGGUAAUCCAGAAAUCCCAGAAUCGGAUAUAGUUCAAUCGUGCAGAAAGUUAUUAAAUGAAAGACAGAGCGUUAACGUGUGGCGGUAUCUUGAAGCAAUUGAUAAGAGACCUGAUAUUACCGAGGGUUUAAAAAAGUUAAAAUGCCGAACGCUUAUAUUUGUUGGUGACAGCUCAUCGUUCCAUUCAGAAGCUCUACACAUGACUGGAAAAUUGGACAGACGGUAUAGUGCAUUAGUUGAGCCGCAGCGGUGCAGCGAGCGCAACUGGCGAGCGCAGCGGCAGGUUAAUAAAAAAACUAAAAAGUUCCACCUGACAAAGCUUUGGCUGCACUUGCAAUUGAGGACAAGAAAAGGCAAUAUAACAUCGGCGCAGCGAGCGCAGCCGCAACGUCGCAGUGAGCGCAUCUGCAACGCCGCAGCUAGCGCAACCCCAGCGAAUGCAGCCGCAUCAGAGCAGCAACCACACCCCAGCCAGUCAUGCGCAACGCCGCAGCGAGCGCAGCCACAAGGUGACAGCAGUGAUGAUGUUACUGGUGGUAGCAGACGGUGACAACAGGAUGUUCUAGGGUUCCGGUGACGUCAGGAGCUUCUAGGGUUUUGGCAGAAGUAGAACCUAACUCCGGUGAGUGAAACAAAUGCAAUCUCCCUUCAGAUCAGAGAUUUCUAUACCUCGGGUUUGAUUCCUAUAACCUAACCUAGGUUUUCGAUCAAAUUCUGGUGUUGCUGGAGAAGAAAGAUGCAAAUGGGGAAAAUAUGUGUACUGAAUCAUCAACAACAUUUGUACAUAUUGGCAUUCCAUUAUGGCUUGUGGUCUUAAAAAGGGUCAUCUAGAUGCUGCUUUUAGAGUUCAUGAGUAUUCUUACAAAUGUAGGCCAAAGGGCCAUUGGUCCAUUUUAUAAAGCUCAGAUGAGCACUGGUGAAGCAAUUGUUGUUAAAGUCCUUGCAACUGAUUCCAAACAAGGCGACAAAGAGUUCCAAACAGAGUUAUUUAUGAUUUUGAUGAGGAUGUUAUUAUCUGUGAUCGUGAAACGGAGAUGAUUGUUCCCAUUCAUGAAAAGAUGUUUGACUUUGAUAAAGUCAACAAGAUCCAAGAGCUUCUUUCAGUAAUCUCAAAGAGAAUCAAGAAAAGAUAAUCAAAUUAGAUAUUGAAGCAAAAAAAGAAAGAAAGGUAUUGGUGCAUCCGUCGCACGGCCCAAUCCAUUCAUCUCGGUAGUCUAUGAGGAUGCAUGAUGACUCAAGAUUUUAUGCUUCUUAUUUCUUUAAUUGCUUUUAAUUUCUUUGUUAAAUGUUAAGACUUUAUGUUAAAGAAUGUUAUAACUUAUUUAUGGUUAGUGU
Molecule: long non-coding RNA, 2007 nt
Organism: Helianthus annuus (common sunflower)
Lineage: Eukaryota; Viridiplantae; Streptophyta; Magnoliopsida; Asterales; Asteraceae
Exons: 13
Source: RefSeq, a predicted model, not a curated record